UAGGUUUUUGUAGUUGAAUACAACAGUGGUUUUUCAGAUCAUUAGUCUUGGUUAAAGUCCAUGCAAGAAUU
Molecule: transfer RNA, 71 nt
Filed under: Platysternon megacephalum (big-headed turtle)
Lineage: Eukaryota; Metazoa; Chordata; Testudines; Platysternidae
Description: tRNA-Glu
Rfam family: tRNA
About the family: Transfer RNA (tRNA) molecules are approximately 80 nucleotides in length. Their secondary structure includes four short double-helical elements and three loops (D, anti-codon, and T loops).
Source: RNAcentral